CCUACGGGCGGCAGCAGUGGGGAAUAUUGCGCAAUGGGCGAAAGCCUGACGCAGCGACGCAGCGUGAGGGAUGAAGGUCUUCGGAUCGUAAACCUCUGUCAGCAGGGAAGUACGGUCACUGUGCUAAUCAGCAGUGAAUUGACGGUAUCUGCAAGGGAAGCACCGGCUAACUCCGUGCCAGCAGCCGCGGUAAUACGGAGGGUGCGAGCGUUAAUCGGAUUUACUGGGCUUAAAGCGCUCGUAGACGGUAUGUCAAGUCAAGGGUGAAAUCGCGGGGCUCAACGGGGGAACUGCCUUUGAAACUGGCAGACUGGAGUGUGUGGGAGGAUAGUGGAAUUCCAGGUGUAGGAGUGAAAUCCGUAGAUAUCUGGAGGAACAUCAGUGGCGAAGGCGGCUAUCUGGCACAUAACUGACGCUGAGGAGCGAAAGCGUGGGUAGCAAACAGGAUUAGAUACCCCUGUAGUC
RNAcentral lists this ribosomal RNA (465 nucleotides) under uncultured bacterium. Its description in RNAcentral is "partial 16S ribosomal RNA". It matches the Rfam family "Bacterial small subunit ribosomal RNA", at positions 338 to 795 of the family's 1533-position model. The record is from RNAcentral.